This 477-nucleotide ribosomal RNA is filed under the name uncultured eukaryote. Its description in RNAcentral is "partial 18S ribosomal RNA". It matches the Rfam family "Eukaryotic small subunit ribosomal RNA", at positions 511 to 879 of the family's 1831-position model. The record is from RNAcentral.
GGAAUGAGUACAAUUUAAAUCCCUUAACAAGUAACAAUUAGAGGGGCAAGUCUGGUGCCAGCAGCCGCGGUAAUUCCAGCUCUAAUAGCGUAUAUUAAUAUUGUUGCAGUUAAAAAGCUCGUAGUUGAAAUUUGGGACUUUAUUAUAUUGGUUUAUCUUUUGAUGAACUGUAUAAUGGGUUUCUUCCUACUAGAGUUCGAUUCUGUUCUUAAUUGAAUGGAGUAGCUAUCUUUCGGGGUGGUCAAUUGGUUGUUAUAUCUCCACUAAUAAGCAGAGAGGGGUAAAACUCUCAAAGUAAGUUAUGUGGGUCAAGGUAUGAUGAUUAAUUGGAGUUCUAGUUCAUUUACUUUGAGAAAAUUAGAGUGUUUAAAGCAGCCUCUUGGGGCACUGAAUACAUUAGCAUGGGAUAAUAAAAUAGGAUCUUCACAAUAUAUUUAUUGGUUUAAAUUGGAUAUGAAGAUAAUGAUUAAUAGGGAC